GACGAACGCUGGCGGCGUGCUUAACACAUGCAAGUGGAGCGACGAACCGGGCUUCGGCCCGGGGCAGAGCCGCGAACGGGUGAGUAACACGUGGGUUACCUGCCCCGUUGACAGGGACAACCCGGGGAAACCCGGGCUAAUACCUGAUGUGCCCUUAGGGGGAAAGGAAGCUUCGGCCUCCGCAACGGGAUGGGCCCGCGGCGCAUUAGCUUGUUGGUGGGGUAACGGCCUACCAAGGCGACGAUGCGUAGCUGGUCUGAGAGGACGAUCAGCCACACUGGGACUGAGACACGGCCCAGACUCCUACGGGAGGCAGCAGUGGGGAAUAUUGCACAAUGGGCGAAAGCCUGAUGCAGCGACACCGCGUGAGGGAUGACGGCC
This 381-nucleotide ribosomal RNA is filed under the name uncultured bacterium. RNAcentral's name for it is "bacterial SSU rRNA". It matches the Rfam family "Bacterial small subunit ribosomal RNA", at positions 28 to 416 of the family's 1533-position model. The record is from RNAcentral.